GCUCUCCUGACGCGGCCGGGCCGGACCCCGGAGGAACCAGCUGGUCAGCUGGCAAGGGGCUGGCUGCGGUUCCGACAGCGGCGGUGCCGGGAGGGGUAGGUGAGGGUCGCGAGGCGGCCCUGAGCUUCUGAGUGAGCGUGGUGCUUUUGGGAACGCGGGACGGGCGACCCGUGGAGCCAGGAGCGGGGCCGAGGCGCUGAGACGCGGCGGCGCGGCUGCCGGCUGCAUGGGAAGUUAAUGUUUACGGCGAAGUCUACUCAACGUUUCCAAGAUUGUUAGAAACGGAUAGUAAGUCUUUAAGAUCUGUAAAUGGGUCAAGAAGAAACAGUGGCUCUUCUCUUGUGUCGAGUUCAUCAGCCUCUAGCAACCUCAGUCACCUUGAAGAAGAUUCUUGGAUUCUUUGGGGAAGAAUUGUUAAUGAAUGGGAAGAUGUACGCAAAAAGAAGGAAAAGCAAGUUAAGCCCUUUGAAUGUUGGGUACUGUACCAUCAUUCACAGCUCUGCAGGUUUCAAGUCCAUUACCUUA
RNAcentral lists this small RNA (525 nucleotides) under Pan troglodytes (chimpanzee). Its description in RNAcentral is "processed transcript". The record is from RNAcentral. Lineage: Eukaryota; Metazoa; Chordata; Mammalia; Primates; Hominidae.